RNAcentral lists this long non-coding RNA (336 nucleotides) under Vigna radiata. RNAcentral's name for it is "long non-coding RNA (VRAD_LNC017117)". The record is from RNAcentral. Lineage: Eukaryota; Viridiplantae; Streptophyta; Magnoliopsida; Fabales; Fabaceae.
UGGGUUAUGCGCUGCUUCUAAUGGCAGUAAUGAUAUAUUCUACUAAUGGAUGCUUCUACAACAUCUACUGAUGGAUAAUGAAGAUAAAAAAAAUUAGCAUCUACUGAUGGAUGCUAUAUGGUUAGACAUUUACUGAUGGAUGUCACUAACGGCGUUUAUUGAUGAAUGCUACUGGGAUAACAUCUACUAAGGGAUGCUAGAAGAUUUAGGUAUCUACUGAAGGAUACAGGAAGGUAACCUACUGAUGGGUGAUGGUAAGUUUUGCACCUACUGAUGGGUGCUAGAAAAGUUUGGGUCAGGCUCAUGACAUUAAACAAGCGCUACCUGGGAGGCAAC